Molecule: ribosomal RNA, 274 nt
Filed under: uncultured bacterium
Lineage: Bacteria
Description: partial 16S ribosomal RNA
Rfam family: Bacterial small subunit ribosomal RNA
Source: RNAcentral
AUACAGAGAGUGCAAGCGUUAAUCGGAAUUACUGGGCGUAAAGGGUACGUAGGCGGUUUAUCAAGUCAGAUGUGAAAUCCCCGGGCUUAACCUGGGAACUGCAUUUGAAACUGAUAGACUAGAGUGAGUGAGAGGUUAGUGGAAUUCCAGGUGUAGCGGUGAAAUGCGUAGAGAUCUGGAGGAACAUCAGUGGCGAAGGCGACUAACUGGCACUACACUGACGCUGAGGUACGAAAGCGUGGGGAGCGAACAGGAUUAGAUACCCCAGUAGUCC